GAGUAGUAUAAGUUAUGAUCUUUAAACUCAAAAAAUUUGGCGGUACUUUAUCUUAUCAGAGGAACCUGCUUAUUAAUUGAUGUUCCACAACUUUAACUUACUUUUAUUAAAUUAUUUGUAUACCGUUGUCAUGAAUCUACUAAAAAGUUAUUUUCAAGCAUUUUUAUGUAAUUUAUGUUAGAUCAAGGUGCAGUUUUUGAAAGAUUAAAGUGGGUUACAUUUUUUAUAAUGGAUGAAAAUUAUUAGUAAAGUAAUAAUGGAAACAGGAUUUGAAAGUAAAGAGAGUUAUUAAAGAUUUUACAUGAAUAUAGAUUCUAAAGUAUG
This 324-nucleotide ribosomal RNA is filed under the name Livilla spectabilis. RNAcentral's name for it is "partial 12S ribosomal RNA". The record is from RNAcentral. Lineage: Eukaryota; Metazoa; Arthropoda; Insecta; Hemiptera; Psyllidae.